UACGGAGGGUGCAAGCGUUAAUCGGAAUUACUGGGCGUAAAGGGUGCGUAGGUAGUUUUUUAAGAUAUCUGUGAAAUACCUGGGCUUAACCUGGGAAGGUCAGAUAAGACUGGAAGACUUGAGUAUAGGAGAGGGUAGUGGAAUUUCCGGUGUAGCGGUGAAAUGCGUAGAGAUCGGAAGGAACACCAGUGGCGAAGGCGGCUACCUGGCCUAAUACUGACACUGAGGCACGAAAGCGUGGGGAGCAAACAGG
Molecule: ribosomal RNA, 253 nt
Filed under: uncultured Legionella sp.
Lineage: Bacteria; Pseudomonadati; Pseudomonadota; Gammaproteobacteria; Legionellales; Legionellaceae
Description: partial 16S ribosomal RNA
Rfam family: Bacterial small subunit ribosomal RNA
Source: RNAcentral